UUUUGGGAGAGAAAAAAAAAAUGCGAGAAAAAAAAAGGAAAGAGAAAAAGGUAUAAGGGUAUUUUGGUCAGUUUAUUAAAAAUUCAGAUCGAAUCUGCAAAAUCGAAAAAGGCCGCCCAGUUUUACAAAAGAUCAAAACUUGUGGAUUUUUUUUAAUGUAAAUUGGCCUAAUUUUUCUUCUUUAAACUUUUUUCAUAAAGGGUUAAUUGCAUAUAGGUUCUUAUAGAUAUAGUGAAUUGUAAAUAUAUUCCUACAAAAUUCAACUUUCAUAUGUUGUCCGUGCAACCUGCAAAAGAAUGUUUUCAAAUGUGUCCCUGCAGUUAGGAUCUGUUAGAAAAAAUUAGUUAAUCAUAGGUAAAGUACUUAACCCUAGUUAGUUAAUGGGGUAAAUUGACAUUUUUACCCUCUUCAAUUAAGAGUAGGACUUUUGGAGGGAUAUAUUUGUGGAGUUCGGUUGGGAUACUAUCGAUACCACUAAGGAUUUGGUGCUAUCAAGUUUUCCACCGUUAGAUUUAACCCUUUGAUUAUUUUUACCCGUUAGAUUAUACUAUUCAACAAACCACUCACUCAACCCUAAAGGGCCCAUAUCAUCCUAACUACAUAUGUCUCAAUCCAAGGGCUAAAAAACUAAUAGCACCAAUAGCUUGGUACUAUUGAUAGUAUUUCAGCCUAGUUCUAUAUUUGUGAUGGCAAAAAGUCAUUUUAUUUAUAAAAUAAACAGUGCUUUAACGGUAACAAACUAGAAAGACAUAUUUGAAAAUAUUAGGACUUUUGCAGGAACAACAUAUAAAAGUUGAACUUUGUAGGGAUAUAUUUACAAUUCACUAUGUUUGCAAGGACCAGUAUGAAAUUAACCCAAAAAACAAACAAUACCAACUCU
This 880-nucleotide long non-coding RNA is filed under the name Ananas comosus (pineapple). RNAcentral describes it as "long non-coding RNA (ACOM_LNC026223)". The record is from RNAcentral. Lineage: Eukaryota; Viridiplantae; Streptophyta; Magnoliopsida; Poales; Bromeliaceae.